UCUCCGUAGGUGAACCUGCGGAGGGAUCAUUACAGAGUUCAUGCCCUACCGGGUAGAUCUCCCACCCUAUGUUAUUAUUACUUUGUUGCUUUGGCGGGCCGUUAGGCUCCGGCCCGACUACCGGCCCCGGCUGGUAAGCGCCCGCCAGAGGACCCAAAACCCUGAACAUUAGUGUCGUCUGAGUACUAUAUAAUAGUCAAAACUUUCAACAACGGAUCUCUUGGUUCUG
Molecule: unclassified non-coding RNA, 229 nt
Filed under: plant metagenome
Description: partial contains small subunit ribosomal RNA, internal transcribed spacer 1, and 5.8S ribosomal RNA
Source: RNAcentral